CUUGCCCGCUGGCGGCAUGCUUUACACAUGCAAGUCGUACGGCAGCGCGGGCUUCGGCCUGGCGGCGAGUGGCGAACGGGUGAGUAAUACAUCGGAACGUGCCCAGUAGUGGGGGAUAGCUAGGCGAAAGCCGGAUUAAUACCGCAUACGACCUGAGGGUGAAAGCGGGGGAUCUUCGGACCUCGCGCUAUUGGAGCGGCCGAUGGCAGAUUAGCUAGUUGGUGGGGUAAAGGCCUACCAAGGCGACGAUCUGUAGCUGGUCUGAGAGGACGACCAGCCACACUGGGACUGAGACACGGCCCAGACUCCUACGGGAGGCAGCAGUGGGGAAUUUUGGACAAUGGGCGAAAGCCUGAUCCAGCAAUGCCGCGUGUGUGAUGAAGGCCUUCGGGUUGUAAAGCACUUUUGGCGGGAACGAAAAGGACUGUGCCAAUACCACGGUUCGAUGACGGUACCCGCAGAAUAAGCACCGGCUAACUACGUG
This 484-nucleotide ribosomal RNA is filed under the name uncultured bacterium. Its description in RNAcentral is "partial 16S ribosomal RNA". It matches the Rfam family "Bacterial small subunit ribosomal RNA", at positions 34 to 507 of the family's 1533-position model. The record is from RNAcentral.